RNAcentral lists this ribosomal RNA (1363 nucleotides) under metagenome. Its description in RNAcentral is "bacterial SSU rRNA". It matches the Rfam family "Bacterial small subunit ribosomal RNA", at positions 9 to 1362 of the family's 1533-position model. The record is from RNAcentral.
GAGUUUGAUCAUGGCUCAGAUUGAACGCUGGCGGCAGGCCUAACACAUGCAAGUCGAACGGUAACAGGAAACAGCUUGCUGUUUCGCUGACGAGUGGCGGACGGGUGAGUAAUGUCUGGGAAACUGCCUGAUGGAGGGGGAUAACUACUGGAAACGGUAGCUAAUACCGCAUAACGUCGCAAGACCAAAGAGGGGGACCCUCGGGCCUCUUGCCAUCGGAUGUGCCCAGAUGGGAUUAGCUUGUUGGUGGGGUAACGGCUCACCAAGGCGACGAUCCCUAGCUGGUCUGAGAGGAUGACCAGCCACACUGGAACUGAGACACGGUCCAGACUCCUACGGGAGGCAGCAGUGGGGAAUAUUGCACAAUGGGCGCAAGCCUGAUGCAGCCAUGCCGCGUGUAUGAAGAAGGCCUUCGGGUUGUAAAGUACUUUCAGCGGGGAGGAAGGGAGUAAAGUUAAUACCUUUGCUCAUUGACGUUACCCGCAGAAGAAGCACCGGCUAACUCCGUGCCAGCAGCCGCGGUAAUACGGAGGGUGCAAGCGUUAAUCGGAAUUACUGGGCGUAAAGCGCACGCAGGCGGUUUGUUAAGUCAGAUGUGAAAUCCCCGGGCUCAACCUGGGAACUGCAUCUGAUACUGGCAAGCUUGAGUCUCGUAGAGGGGGGUAGAAUUCCAGGUGUAGCGGUGAAAUGCGUAGAGAUCUGGAGGAAUACCGGUGGCGAAGGCGGCCCCCUGGACGAAGACUGACGCUCAGGUGCGAAAGCGUGGGGAGCAAACAGGAUUAGAUACCCUGGUAGUCCACGCCGUAAACGAUGUCGACUUGGAGGUUGUGCCCUUGAGGCGUGGCUUCCGGAGCUAACGCGUUAAGUCGACCGCCUGGGGAGUACGGCCGCAAGGUUAAAACUCAAAUGAAUUGACGGGGGCCCGCACAAGCGGUGGAGCAUGUGGUUUAAUUCGAUGCAACGCGAAGAACCUUACCUGGUCUUGACAUCCACGGAAGUUUUCAGAGAUGAGAAUGUGCCUUCGGGAACCGUGAGACAGGUGCUGCAUGGCUGUCGUCAGCUCGUGUUGUGAAAUGUUGGGUUAAGUCCCGCAACGAGCGCAACCCUUAUCCUUUGUUGCCAGCGGUCCGGCCGGGAACUCAAAGGAGACUGCCAGUGAUAAACUGGAGGAAGGUGGGGAUGACGUCAAGUCAUCAUGGCCCUUACGACCAGGGCUACACACGUGCUACAAUGGCGCAUACAAAGAGAAGCGACCUCGCGAGAGCAAGCGGACCUCAUAAAGUGCGUCGUAGUCCGGAUUGGAGUCUGCAACUCGACUCCAUGAAGUCGGAAUCGCUAGUAAUCGUGGAUCAGAAUGCCACGG